UGAGUAAAUUGUACAGUCGCAUGUGAAAGCAUGAGGAAAGUCCGAGCUCCGCAGAGCAGGGUGCCGGGUAAUACCCGGUGAGGGUGACCUUAAGGAUAGUGCAACAGAAAUAGACCGCCGCUUAUGCGGUAAGGAUGGAAAGGCGAGGUAAGAGCUCACCGGCGGCUUGGCGACUUGUCCGCCCUGUAAACCCCACCCGGUGCAAGAUUGGAAUGAGAGCAUUUAAUGGCGGCCCGCCACGCUCUUGAUAAUCGCUUGAGCCUAUCGGCAACGAUAGGCCUAGAUAGAUGGUCACCCACGGCGCGCAAGCGCCCGGACAGAACUCGGCUUACGGCUUACUCACUUU
Molecule: RNase P RNA, 346 nt
Filed under: Syntrophomonas wolfei
Lineage: Bacteria; Bacillati; Bacillota; Clostridia; Eubacteriales; Syntrophomonadaceae
Description: RNase P RNA component class A
Rfam family: Bacterial RNase P class A
About the family: Ribonuclease P (RNase P) is a ubiquitous endoribonuclease, found in archaea, bacteria and eukarya as well as chloroplasts and mitochondria. Its best characterised activity is the generation of mature 5'-ends of tRNAs by cleaving the 5'-leader elements of precursor-tRNAs.
Source: RNAcentral